CCGCCCCUGCCCGCCCUAGUGCCGCGCCUGACGCUGCGACUCAGCUGCCCGCCGCUGCCGGGCUCCCGUGCCCUCCCUCGCUGUCGGGCUCGUGUGCACGGGGGUGGAGAGGGGGAUCGCUGCCGGGGUGGCGCGGCGCUGCUCGGCUCUAUCCCCGGCACCGCGGGUGCCUGGCUGGGGGCUGGGGCCGCCACCUUCAGCUGCACCGCAGAAACCCUAAAGGCAGGCUAGGAAUAAGGAAUUGAAUUGAUCUGAGUCCUUCAUUGCUGAAUCUAGGGUUUACCUGGGUUAUAAGGGUUUACCUGGGGACUUACCCAGAUCUCACUGUAGAAAACAAGAUAACCUCAAGACAAGAUAAUUUUCAUCUCUCCCAAGGAACUGAGAUUGUGGAUCCAGAUAUCUGAAAUUCCAAUGGCUCAGCACUUACUGAAAAAAGUCAUCCCCCUGGUGAUCUUUAUGUACAGUAAUUUAAAGACCUUUCAUUUCUCAGAAUGAAAAAAAAAUAAAGGCUAGAUUUCAAUUGC
Non-coding RNA from Lonchura striata (white-rumped munia), 524 nucleotides. NCBI's taxonomy places the organism in Eukaryota, Metazoa, Chordata, Aves, Passeriformes, Estrildidae. The record is from RefSeq and is a predicted model, not a curated record.